GGCGAACGGGUGAGUAAUACGUCGGAACGUGCCCAGUCGUGGGGGAUAACGUAGCGAAAGUUACGCUAAUACCGCAUACGAUCUAAGGAUGAAAGCGGGGGACCGUAAGGCCUCGCGCGGUUGGAGCGGCCGAUGUCAGAUUAGGUAGUUGGUGGGGUAAAGGCCUACCAAGCCGACGAUCUGUAGCUGGUCUGAGAGGACGACCAGCCACACUGGGACUGAGACACGGCCCAGACUCCUACGGGAGGCAGCAGUGGGGAAUUUUGGACAAUGGGCGCAAGCCUGAUCCAGCCAUUCCGCGUGCAGGACGAAGGCCUUCGGGUUGUAAACUGCUUUUGUACGGAACGAAAAAGCCUUGGCUAAUACCCAGGGUCCAUGACGGUACCGUAAGAAUAAGCACCGGCUAACUACGUGCCAGCAGCCGCGGUAAUACGUAGGGUGCAAGCGUUAAUCGGAAUUACUGGGCGUAAAGCGUGCGCAGGCGGUUUUGUAAGUCAGACGUGAAAGCCCCGGGCUUAACCUGGGAAUUGCGUUUGAAACUGCAAGGCUAGAGUACGGCAGAGGGGGGUAGAAUUCCACGUGUAGCAGUGAAAUGCGUAGAUAUGUGGAGGAAUACCGAUGGCGAAGGCAGCCCCCUGGGCUAGUACUGACGCUCAUGCACGAAAGCGUGGGGAGCAAACAGGAUU
Molecule: ribosomal RNA, 686 nt
Filed under: uncultured Comamonadaceae bacterium
Lineage: Bacteria; Pseudomonadati; Pseudomonadota; Betaproteobacteria; Burkholderiales; Comamonadaceae
Description: bacterial SSU rRNA
Rfam family: Bacterial small subunit ribosomal RNA
Source: RNAcentral